AGCUCCAAUAGCGUAUAUUAAAGUUGUUGCGGUAAAAAAGCUCGUAGUUGGAUUUCUGCAAAAAACGGCCGGUCACCUCUAUGAGGUUGUAUCUGGUUCGGUUUUUGCAUCCUCUUAGGAAACGGUACUGCGCUUCACUGCGCGGGUCGGGGCCUAAGACUUUCACUUUGAGGAAAUUAGAGUGUUCACGGCAGGCAAUCGCCUUGAAUAUGUUAGCAUGGAAUGAUAUUAUAGGAUCUUGGUCCUAUUUUGUUGGUUUCUAGGGCUAAGGUAAUGAUUAAUAGGGACAAUUGGGGGUAUCCGUAUCAUCGCGUCAGAGGUGGAAUUCUUGGAUUGCGAUGCGACGAACUACUGCGAAAGCAUUUACCAAGGAUGUUUUCA
RNAcentral lists this ribosomal RNA (381 nucleotides) under uncultured eukaryote. Its description in RNAcentral is "SSU rRNA". It matches the Rfam family "Eukaryotic small subunit ribosomal RNA", at positions 587 to 972 of the family's 1831-position model. The record is from RNAcentral.